Molecule: long non-coding RNA, 814 nt
Organism: Gymnodraco acuticeps
Lineage: Eukaryota; Metazoa; Chordata; Actinopteri; Perciformes; Bathydraconidae
Exons: 3
Source: RefSeq, a predicted model, not a curated record
AUUGGGAUUCCCCAUUUGAAGGCACUGUUUUUCUGGAGUCCUUAAUAUAAGACGUUGGAACGAUUUCUUUAACUCCGUCGUCCAAGUAUUUAACGUAGGCAAACAUUUUUGCUUAAUUGAUCGUUUGAUGUGGUUGCCGUGUGGGUCAUCCAGAGCCCUAUAAUAGAAAUUCUACAUAAAGAAGCAGGUGCCACCCCACUCCCCGGAACGUUCCUUGCUCGCCUACACCAAGACCUGGACAACCCAGGUGGACUUGGGGCCUUUAGCAUUGCCGGAGAGGAGGAGAGGAUCAGGAGGGGACACGGAAUUCUGGAGCGCCCCCGAGAAGAGAUGUGGGCCAGAUUUGUCAGAGAUGUCCUCAAACAUUACAUCUGCAUGUCUGCGGAUAGCAGUUAAUGGAUCAGCACCAGAGUAUAAUACAACAGUAACUGAUUGCAUUUUAUCGAAGUGCUUUGUUUUCAGGGUAGAUUUACUUUACCCGAGGGUGUCCAUUUCUGGCUAUUUCUGACAACUACUUCUGAGUAAAAUAUUGUACUAUUUAGUAUGCAGAACCUGCAUUCUUAAUGCAGCUAACGCGAGCUUGCAGCUAACGCUAGCAUGCCUCGAACGUUAGCUUGUUUAACUCAGCGGCCAAGUAUUUUGCUUGCCGCUGACUAGCUAAAUGGUUCUCCAACUAGCAAUUGCUAGUUGGAGAACCAUUACCUUAACGCUACCAUUUUAGCCAAAACUCAUAACAAAUGUAACUAGCAUAUCUUAGUUGGUCAUUUAGGCAAACAUUUUUUUCUGUGCAAAAUGAAUAUUGCCAUACAGGAAU